AACGAACGUUAGCGGCGCGCUUAACACAUGCAAGUCGAGCGGAAAGGCCCUUCGGGGUACUCGAGCGGCGCACGGGUGAGUAACACGUGGGAAUCUACCUUUUGGCGGGGGAUAACACUUCGAAAGAGGUGCUAAUACCGCAUGUGACCGAGAGGGGAAAGGCGGCUUCGGCUGUCACCAGAAGAUGAGCCCGCGGCCCAUCAGCUAGUUGGUAGGGUAAAGGCCUACCAAGGCAAUGACGGGUAGCUGGUCUGAGAGGACGACCAGUCACACUGGAACUGAGACACGGUCCAGACUCCUACGGGAGGCAGCAGUGGGGAAUAUUGCGCAAUGGGCGAAAGCCUGACGCAGCGACGCCGCGUGGGUGAUGAAGGUCUUCGGAUCGUAAAGCCCAGUUGGAGGGGAAAGAAAAAGCUUACGGUUAAUACCCGUAGGUCUUGACGGUACCCCUUCAGAAAGCACCGGCUAACUCCGUGCCAGCAGCCGCGGUAAUACGGAGGGUGCAAACGUUGUUCGGAAUCACUGGGCGUAAAGCGCGUGUAGGCGGCGCGAUAAGUCAGAUGUGAAAGCCCUCGGCUCAACCGGGGAAGUGCAUUUGAAACUGUCGCGCUAGAGUACGGGAGAGGGUCGUGGAAUUCCUGGUGUAGAGGUGAAAUUCGUAGAUAUCAGGAGGAACACCGGUGGCGAAGGCGGCGACCUGGACCG
This 705-nucleotide ribosomal RNA is filed under the name uncultured bacterium. RNAcentral describes it as "bacterial SSU rRNA". It matches the Rfam family "Bacterial small subunit ribosomal RNA", at positions 28 to 736 of the family's 1533-position model. The record is from RNAcentral.